Long non-coding RNA from Papio anubis (olive baboon), 3703 nucleotides. NCBI's taxonomy places the organism in Eukaryota, Metazoa, Chordata, Mammalia, Primates, Cercopithecidae. The record is from Ensembl.
UUAACUGUGAAGCAGCCUCGGGCAGGUCCUUCAGGAGGUUUCCAGAAGAAGGCAUUAUUAUCAAGGAGAUGACAGCCCCAUGCCUGUUACUGCCCCUGAAGACCUUCCAGUGGGACAAGAUGUGGAGGUAGAAGACAGUGAUAUUGAUGCUCCUGACCUGCUUAGGCUUAGGCAAAUGUGUGUGUUUGUGUCUUGGUUUUUUAAAAAAGGUUUUAAAAGUAAAAUCAAUAAAUAAUAGAAAAAAGCUCAUAGAAUAAGGUUAAAAAGAAAGAAAAUAUUUUUGUAUAACUAUAUAAUUUGUGUGGUUUUUUGUUUAUUUGUUUGAGACAGGGUCUCACUCUGUCACCCAGACUGGAGGGCAGUGGCACAAUCACAGCUCACUGUAGCCUCGACCUCCUGGGCUCCAGAGAUCCUCCCACCUCAGGAGGACAUCAGUCCUCCAGACAGACAUCAGGCCCCGGUGGACACCAGGCCCCAAGUGGGACACAAGCCCAAGGCGGACAUCAGGCCUGAGGAGGACAUCCGGCCCCUGGUGAACAUUAGGUGCAGGUGUCCAAGCAGGCCCUGAGUGGACAUAACAGUGUCUAGGCUGCUCCUUCAGGAAUGGCAGAAGAGCCUUUUCCGACGAUGCUGACGAAGGCUUAUCCCUCACCCCAGAUGCCUGUGGCCCUUUGUAAAAACGCGCACCCAGAUACCACAGGGCAGCCUCACCUCACCGGAGAUCCCAUCGGGCCUGCAUCUGCACGUUGUCCUUGUCCAAGAGGAGAUUCGGGAGCCUAUACGGGCACAGGCACAUGCUCUUGCCGCACGUGCAGAGAGAGGGGAACUUCCCGCGCCCCUCUGUGGAGCCAGAACCCACAGCAUGGGAGGGGCCCCUCCAGAGGCCCUGCUGCAGCUAGAGCAGCAGCUCCAGAGCCCUCCGGGCCCUGCACCGGUACAGCCAAGGACCAGCCCAGUGAGGAGCUGCCCGACCUCAGGCCACCUGCCGUAGUCACUGGCCUCAGCCCUGGAGCUGAGAACAUGGCUGGAGAUAGAGCUCCUGCGCCAUGUGCAGAGAGAGAGGAACUUCCAGCGCCCGCUGUGGAGCCAGAGCCCACGGCACGGGGAGGGCCCCUCUAGAGACAGCGCUGCAGCUAGAGGCAGCUCCAGAGCCCUCCGGGCCGUGCACCGGUACAGCCAAGGACCAGCCCAGUGAGGAGCUGCCCGACCUCAGGCCACCUGCCGUAGCCACUGGCCUCAGCACUGGAGCUGACAGCGUGGCUGGAGAUAGACAGAGAGCGGAUGGCCAGCACCACCCUAGACAGCAGCUCCCACACUGCCCCUAGUCCCGGGCAUGGUGGGAGCCAUGGAGUCAGAGACCAGGGUAUGCAGCCUCGGCUCAUCUACCUCACUGGAAAGAGGCUUAUUUUAUUCACCAGAGCCACAUCCCAGGUGCAGCAGGACCUUUGCAUUCUGCCAGUGCUGGGAGUAUCUAUCUGCGCACAGGAGGUGCUUGAGAGCAGGAAAAGAAGCCUGCAGGAAAGGGUUCCAGCAGCUCCUCCUGCUCUCAGAGUCAGCCUUGUCUUCUAUGAGAGCAGGAAAAGAAGCCUGUGAGAAAGGGUUCCAGCAGCUCCUCCUGCUCCCAGAGGCGGCCUCCUGCUCCAGGCGUGGAGGUCUCUCUGCAACUGGGCUUCUGGGCUGUUUGCUCCUGAUGUGCUCCCCAGGAUGGGCUUAAUGGGCGGGCAGGGGGUGCGAGGACCAGGGGGCGGCUUCAAAGGGUACAGCAACCAAAGCUUCCAAACUCAGCACUUGUGCUUCGGUCUCUCCAUGCUGCCACCUGCCCUAGGAUUUAUUCAUAGUGUUACAUUACCAGUUUAUGCAAAUGAUGUUUCAUUAAAGCUCAACUUUUUGAAAGUUCACGCCUUUUUUAGCUCCCUAAUGUUAGAUGGUAUUUUUGAGGCAAUCCUGAAUAUCUCUGAUAGUUGUGUCUUUUUGUUGUGGUUUUUGUGUGAUUGAGUUACCACCAAACCAACUGUUAUUGGAAACCUUUCAGGUAUGGCUUUUAGAAGACCUUGACCUACUCUUGCCUGUUUUGAUUCUCCAGUGUAUUGUGGAAAGUGGGAUCAUGUAGUUUCAUUUCUCCAGCAGAUAAGUCACCUUUUGCCAUCAAGGUUUUGGAAUCAGAGUUUCCAAAAAUUAUGUGUGCAAGUUGACAUGCUGGUACUUUAGCUAAUCUGGGUGUCAAAACAGAAUGCCAUAGACUAGGUAGCAUAGAAAAUUGAUUUCUCACAGUUCUGGAGAUGGUAAAAUCCAAGGUCAGAUGUUCAGCAGAUUCUGUGUCUGCAGAGGGCUGGCUUCCUGGUUCAUAGACAGCCAUCUUUUUCCUGUGUCCUUACAUGACAGAAGGGAUGAGGGAGCUCUCUGCAGUCCCUUUGAUAGGGGCACCAAUUCCAUUCACGAGGUCCCUGCCUUCAUGAACUUAUUCACCUGCCAAGGCCCCUCCUCCAAAUGCCAUCUCAUAGAAUUAGAAUUCGACACAUGAAUUUGAGGAGGACAGUAACAUUUGGUUUAUAGCAUCAUGUCACUCCAAGCCAUAUGCACUCACAGGAAAUCUAUAAUCUUCUAUUAAGUAUUUCCUGGUCCUUUCUGGGUUUAGAGAUUUUUUUUUUUUUUUUUUCUUUUUUGGCUUUAAGAAAAAUGAUCUUUUAUUUGAUCCAGGGUUUUUUCACAGAAAAGCACUGUGAGUUCACACACUUGCUAAAAAGAUACAGAAAUGAGAGUGGCUUUUGUCUUUUUUUUUUUUUUUUUUUUUUUUUGGAGACGGAGUUUUGCUCUUGUUGCCUAGGCUGGAGUGCAGUGGCAUGAUCUCAGUUCACUGCAACCUCCACCUACUGGGUUCAAGCAAUUGUCCUGCCUCAGCCUCCUGAGUAGCUGGGACAACAGGUGCGCACCACCAUGCCUGGCUAAUUUUUUUUAUUUUUAGUAGAGAUGGGGUUUCACCAUGUUGGUCAGGCUGGUCUCGAACUCCUGACCUCCUGAUCUGCCCGCCUCAGCCUCCCAAAGUGCUGGGAUUACAGGCGUGAGCCACCGCGCCCAGCCAGGUUCAUGUUCUUAAGCGGCACACUAUUUGCUAUGGCAGCAAGACCAAAAGGCUUAAGUACCAAAAAUGUACAUUAACUACAAACAGCUUCACGUAAACAAAACAAUGUGACCAUUUAUAUGUGACAGUAACCCAUAUGCCCAAAAUAUUUUUAACUGAGAUGGAAAUCAAUUUCUGCAUAACAAAUGUUAUCACUGUAUUGAGAUGAUAACAUUAUUUGUAUAUAAAUACUAUAAAUAAUAACGUAUUUAAGUUAUUCAACAAAUAAUUCUUUGGAAUCUACAAAAUGCUGGUUUCUGUUAUAGACCCUGAAUGUAGAAUUGAUAGAAAAUAUAGUAUUUGUUCUUAGAGAGUGGUAGACUAAAAAAAAACCAAAAUGUAUAUUAGGUAGAGGUUGUGCUGCUGAAAACAGGCAGAGACUGAGUUGCUAACACAAAAAUCAUGAAACCCAGUGUGAUUAUUUUUAAUAAUCGUUGAUAUUUUAAUACAGGUCUCUUGUUUUUUCUCAUGGAAACAUAUGACAAUAUGGAAUUUCUGGGUGUUUGGUAUCUGAACGUUUAAGUGUAACAAGUAUGACCAGUUUUCCGAAGAAAUUUUACCAGUUUACUUGUCCAUCAGUGACUC